GUUGUGGAAUUGUCAUUGUCCCCAAAAGUCGUAUUUGAUCCAUUUUCCAAAGACUUCAAAGACAGCUUUAAACACUUCCGAAGCGUUCCUAAAUAUUUCAAUCUUUGUGUCCCCAUAUUUCUUUCCAAAUUGUUUUUUAAUAGGGAACAAUUAUCUGCCAGAUGGGAUUCAAGAAAUGACUCUCAUCUUAUUUUCAGAUCUUGAAUUGAUUCACAUCACACUGAUUUCAUUCGUGUGCACGUGAGGCGUCGUACAGUGCCCGCCGUGACACACGGGGAGUUAUAAUCCUUUGUUCAUCUCAGUUCAGAAUGAGCAGUCCACCCUUUUGGAUGUUGGCAUCUGUCUUUCAGGUCUGCUACUUUUAUCGGUCAGCAGGUGACAGCCAGCAGGAAUUUCUUUAACAACCGGUCAGUAUGUAGCCCAUCUGGUCUGUUUAAGAGUCAUUUGUUUCACCAUUUUCCUUGUUCCUGGUGUACAGAAAUAAACAAACUGGGACCAAACCAACAUCGCAAUGCAAAUUGGAAGUGAAGAUGCUGACAUUCUAAUAGAUCAAAUGAGUGGUCACCUGGGGAAAAAGUUUGUGUUUCUUUCCGGUAACUCUCUUAAAAUAGCCAAAUGGGGCAGAAAGUUCUAGAAUGGCUGAGUCACCAAAUGAACACAGCUGUGUGCCGGUGGGAUGAGCAGUCAUUCCUCCAGAGCUGCAAGGACUGAAGUGCUGCCGUUGUGGCGGUGCUGCCGGCCCCGGGCACAGCAGUGUGGUGAGAGCUGGGGAUGCACAGCCGGGUACCGGCCAGGGGAACUGCUGUGUCCUGGCUGGGAGCUGUGUGUGUGUGCAUGAUGACGAUGUGCUCCCCCGGCUCAGGACGCCCAGGUCUCCUUGCUGACACUCUCUGUGUCCAGGCAAAGCCCUGUUAGCAGAUAUACAUGCAAGUAAGCAAUCAUCUCUCAGAUCAUUCCAGCAGAUGUCUUUUAAAUCAAACUGUUUGUUCAAAAGCCUAACUUUAAGAACUGAAAGAGUUCAUCUCGCUUACAUUCCUACAACAACAUGGUUAACCUCCAAUGUAAUUUUUUUGCUAUCGUCUGUAAAAUAUUUUUAUAUAUUGCCUGUACUGUGGUAGUUUAGCAAUAAAUGAGAGGAUAUCACGU
Gallus gallus (chicken) is the source of this 1146-nucleotide long non-coding RNA. The record is from Ensembl. Lineage: Eukaryota; Metazoa; Chordata; Aves; Galliformes; Phasianidae.